GACGGAAGGGGCUAGCGUUGUUCGGAAUGACUGGGCGUAAAGGGCGCGUAGGCGGCUUUUUAAGUGAGGCGUGAAAGCCCUGGGCUUAACUCAGGAGGUGCGUUUCAAACUGGAAAACUGGAGUACGAGAGAGGAAAGUGGAAUUCCUAGUGUAGAGGUGAAAUUCGUAGAUAUUAGGAAGAACACCAGUGGCGAAGGCGGCUUUCUGGCUCGUAACUGACGCUGAGGAGCGAAAGCGUGGGGAGCAAACAGG
RNAcentral lists this ribosomal RNA (253 nucleotides) under uncultured bacterium. Its description in RNAcentral is "partial 16S ribosomal RNA". It matches the Rfam family "Bacterial small subunit ribosomal RNA", at positions 524 to 776 of the family's 1533-position model. The record is from RNAcentral.